UACAGAGGUCCCAAGCGUUGUUCGGAUUCACUGGGCGUAAAGGGUGCGUAGGCGGUCGGGUAAGUCUGAUGUGAAAUCUCACAGCUUAACUGUGAAACUGCAUUGGAUACUAUCCGGCUUGAGAGUUGGAGGGGGGACUGGAAUUCUUGGUGUAGCAGUGAAAUGCGUAGAUAUCAAGAGGAACACCAGUGGCGAAGGCGAGUCCCUGGACAACUUCUGACGCUGAGGCACGAAAGCGUGGGGAGCAAACAGG
RNAcentral lists this ribosomal RNA (253 nucleotides) under uncultured bacterium. Its description in RNAcentral is "partial 16S ribosomal RNA". It matches the Rfam family "Bacterial small subunit ribosomal RNA", at positions 524 to 776 of the family's 1533-position model. The record is from RNAcentral.